RNAcentral lists this ribosomal RNA (253 nucleotides) under uncultured bacterium. Its description in RNAcentral is "partial 16S ribosomal RNA". It matches the Rfam family "Bacterial small subunit ribosomal RNA", at positions 524 to 776 of the family's 1533-position model. The record is from RNAcentral.
UACGUAGGGUGCAAGCGUUGUCCGGAAUUAUUGGGCGUAAAGAGCUCGUAGGCGGUUUGUUGCGUCGGCUGUGAAAUCCCGAGGCUCAACCUCGGGUCUGCAGUCGAUACGAGCAAACUAGAGUGUUGCAGGGGAGACUGGAAUUCCUGGUGUAGCGGUGAAAUGCGCAGAUAUCAGGAGGAACACCGGUGGCGAAGGCGGGUCUCUGGGCCACUACAGACGCUGAGAAGCGAAAGCAUGGGGAGCGAACAGG